GACAAACGCUGGCGGCGUGCCUAAAACAUGCAAGUCGAACGGACCCUUCGGGGUCAGUGGCGGACGGCUGAGUAACGCGUGGGUAACCUACCCGUGAGUGGGGAAUAACCCUCCGAAAGGAGGGCUAAUACCGCAUACGACCGUCGACCUGCGGAUUGAUGAGGAAAGUCGCAAGACGCUCGCGGAGGGGCCCGCGUCCGAUUAGCUAGUUGGUGGGGUAACGGCUCACCAAGGCGUCGAUCGGUAGCUGGUCUGAGAGGAUGAUCAGCCAGACUGGGACUGUGACACGGCCCAGACUCCUACGGGAGGCAGCAGUCGGGAAUCUUGCGCAAUGGGCGAAAGCCUGACGCAGCAACACCGUGUGUGCGACGAAGGCCUUAGGGUCGUAAAGCACUGUUUGUUGGGGACGAAGGG
Molecule: ribosomal RNA, 414 nt
Filed under: uncultured bacterium
Lineage: Bacteria
Description: bacterial SSU rRNA
Rfam family: Bacterial small subunit ribosomal RNA
Source: RNAcentral